This 2490-nucleotide long non-coding RNA is filed under the name Homo sapiens (human). RNAcentral describes it as "HSALNT0406915". Lineage: Eukaryota; Metazoa; Chordata; Mammalia; Primates; Hominidae. The record is from RNAcentral.
AUUGAGAUGCUAAAAUGAGAGAGCUAAAUUGGAAAGCUUUUUCCACAUAGGGGGCCGUGAGCAGGUGGCUGUUUUGUCCUCUGGCACCUUUGGCUCAGACUUAAGCAGCUUCAACGACCGCCAAGAUGCCUGCCAUGCCCACCAAGAUUUAAAGGACUCUGAUAAUUCUUUCUCUCCCCAAACGGUGUUUUCCUUAUCUAAUCCUAAUAACCAAGCCUGGAGGAAUCCCUGACUUCGUGAUUGAAGGCUCUCCAGGUCCCCUAGUUUAAGGGCAGAGAUUUACUUUCUCUGAGGCUACAAAGGAGCGUCUGCGAGAAUGUCUCUACCUUAGACAAAACAGGGAGGAGGGGUGGAGCUCUCCAAAUUGCCUCUGGUUUGGGCUUUUUCUUUCUGUUUUGGUGUAUCGUCUCUGGCCAACAACACCUGUGAGUCCUUGAUGUGACGAUUAGGGAAGAUGUUUUUAAUUCACAUAACUAUUCUUUAGAGAAAAUUGAUCCUGAAACACCUUAUUGCCUUAUCGUAGAAUGACUGCAUUACUCAGAAUUCUUUACCUCUACCGGAAUUUAGUGAAGGGAAGGCACAACGUACAUUAGGAAAAUACAGGACACACUCCAGUCCUUAAACCUUCCACAAUCUUCUAGCUCUUUAAGGUCGAGUGUGAUCCUCCCCAGAACUGCAUCUUCCAGGAAGCUCAUGAGAAAGGAAGGAUCCCAGGUCCCAUCUCUGAUCUGAGUCGGCAUCUGCGUUUUAACAGAAUCCUGAAGCAGUGGUCUAACUCCUUUGGUGGUGUUAUUGUUUGCAUGUAUACCUCCAAAAUUCACAUAUUGAAAUACUAACCCCCAAGGUGAUAGUAUUAGGAGGUGGGGCCUUUGGGAGGUAAUUAAGUCAUGAGGGUGAAGCCCUCAUGAAUGGGAUUAGUACUCUUAGAAAAGGGACCCCAGAGAGGUCUCUUUCCACCAUGUAAGGAUAAAAGUACACGGAGAAGAUGGCAAUCUGCAAACUGGAAAAGGGCCCUCCUCAGAACCUGACCAUCUUGGCACCUUGAUCUCAGACUUCCAUCUUCCAGAACUGUGAGAAAUAAAUUUCUUUUAUAAACACUCAGUCAAUGCUACUUUAUUAUAGCAGCCUGAAUGGAUUAAGACAGGUGGUCUGGUUUAAAGUGAUGUGGUGGCAUCAGAAGUUUAAGGAGAGACUGGAUUUACAGAACCAGAAUCUGGGAUGCUGUUUACAGAGCAAGUUAUUUCCUGCAUUUGGACACUGUCAGCAGGUCGAUUCAGGAGACAGGUGAAAACUUUAUCACCGGGCAGCCUGGAUGAACACCACAACUUUGAUAUCUUUCACUUAAAGGAAAGAUAAGGGCAUCCACUAUUUCUACACCUGGCUGGCAGAGUGAGAGCUCACCAAAGCACUUACAAAUUCAUGGACUAUUAUGAAGACAAGUUAAGAGAUUGUGUCCUCCAAACUCAUCAUUUUUCAGAAAUUGUAUCACAAUCCUACAAGAUAAAUGCACAAGAUAAUUCUUCAAAUCAUUGAGAGUGUAAUCUAUAAUCUUCCUAAACAACGAACAGUAUAGCACUGGUUAAGGAAAUCAUAUAUCAGCAUAAAGAAAUGUCAACAAGAACUAAGAAGGAUCCAGUUCUGAAUCUCGUUAGCAAGUUCAAAGCAAGGCCAAGAAGAUGCAAUUCCCACUGGAAACCUUAUGAGACAGUUAGAAGGGAAGGGGAGCAAAUGUUCACCAGGAUUUGGAAUGUGCAUGCACAGAUUGCGGAUAGAUAGACUGCCACCCUCGUCAUUGCAGAAGGAAACUUGUGAGUUAUGCCCAGUGCAAUUCUUUCCAACUCUGAUUCCACUGUGGUUACUGCUGAUGGACUCUAGGUGGCCACAGAUGAUACAAACAUGUUCCCAUGGAGCCUCAUGUCAUCCUGACAUGCUGUUCCAGUCUAAGGUAACUGCUGUUCUUCAGUUUAGAAAAGGAGCAACUGUUUUGGAUACAUUUUCAGUGCCAGAACUCUUUCUCCACUGCCUUAGACUUCUCAGUGGUGAAGUGAGAAGGAGUUUUGACAGCUACAGAGCAACAUUUCCAAACGAGAAAAGAAAACAAGGCAAACUUUUUAUAAAUUAUUCAAAUAAUAUGUUAAAUUCAAGGAAAAGAAAAUUUCCAUUUUAUGGUGAAGACUGAUGUUUCCUAAGUCUAUUGGUAAGCUGAGAAACUGCUCUGUGAGCUCUUUCAUUGAAAAUAUUGAAUGACCACAGCUGUUAAAUCUUGCUAAAGGUGUCCUCAGUUCACACUACAACAUGCUUGGGUGCAGGGUCUGGAAGCAAUGACAAAUCAGUGAGACUCCAACACUGAGCUGAAAUGUUCUGUUUUUGCAGUGACAUCAGACCUUAUUAUUGCCCCUGUCUUCCUUCCGUCCUUCCCUCUCCAGGUGUAACUACUAACCCUUACUUGACUUAUAUUACCUCUAUAUGAACUUUCAUACUUUUUUUUUU